GAACAAUCUCAGCUCUUUCUUAAUGAGGCCCCUUUUUGUCGCAAACGUGCACACACCCGGAACUUAUUAGUGGGCGAGCCUUCGGGGGACUCUUUUACUCGAACACCGUGGGUGGAGAGGACAGGCCAAGUUUGAGUGGAGGAGCCCUGGGGCUUGGAAGCGUCAACAGGAUAGAGCAGAGGGCUGUCAGGCUGAGAACAUGCUAAUAAGCUUCUUAUGGACCUCCGUCUGGCUCGCUGCAUGCAAAACAGCUGCUCUGUGACCCUCCAUCUUCUGUCGAUAGGUGUCGAACCCCUCCCGAGCCACGC
Molecule: long non-coding RNA, 308 nt
Organism: Seriola aureovittata
Lineage: Eukaryota; Metazoa; Chordata; Actinopteri; Carangiformes; Carangidae
Exons: 3
Source: RefSeq, a predicted model, not a curated record